GCCAGCCCGCUCAGAACUUAAAGGAAUUGACGGGGGCCCGCACAAGCGGUGGAGCAUGUGGUUAAUUCGAAGCAACGCGAAGAACCUUACCAGGCCUUGACAUGCAGAGAACUUUCCAGAGAUGGAUUGGUGCCUUCGGGAACUCUGACACAGGUGCUGCAUGGCUGUCGUCAGCUCGUGUCGUGAGAUGUUGGGUUAAGUCCCGUAACGAGCGCAACCCUUGUCCUUAGUUACCAGCACGUUAUGGUGGGCACUCUAAGGAGACUGCCGGUGACAAACCGGAGGAAGGUGGGGAUGACGUCAAGUCCUCAUGGCCUUUAUGACCAGGGCUACACACGUACUACAAUGGCCGAUACAAAGGGCAGCGACACUGCGAGGUGAAGCCAAUCCCGUAAAAUCGGUCUCAGUCCGGAUUGGAGUCUGCAACUCGACUCCAUGAAGUUGGAAUCGCUAGUAAUCGUGGAUCAGCAUGCCACGGUGAAUACGUUCCCGGGCCUU
This 498-nucleotide ribosomal RNA is filed under the name uncultured Bacillus sp. Its description in RNAcentral is "bacterial SSU rRNA". It matches the Rfam family "Bacterial small subunit ribosomal RNA", at positions 903 to 1382 of the family's 1533-position model. The record is from RNAcentral. Lineage: Bacteria; Bacillati; Bacillota; Bacilli; Caryophanales; Bacillaceae.